This 303-nucleotide ribosomal RNA is filed under the name uncultured bacterium. RNAcentral's name for it is "partial 16S ribosomal RNA". It matches the Rfam family "Bacterial small subunit ribosomal RNA", at positions 507 to 807 of the family's 1533-position model. The record is from RNAcentral.
AGCAGCAGCCGCGGUAACACGGAGGAUCCAAGCGUUAUCCGGAAUCAUUGGGUUUAAAGGGUCCGUAGGCGGUCUUGUAAGUCAGUGGUGAAAGCCCAUCGCUCAACGGUGGAACGGCCAUUGAUACUGCAGGACUUGAAUUAUUGGGAAGUAACUAGAAUAUGUAGUGUAGCGGUGAAAUGCUUAGAGAUUACAUGGAAUACCAAUUGCGAAGGCAGGUUACUACCAAUUGAUUGACGCUGAUGGACGAAAGCGUGGGUAGCGAACAGGAUUAGAUACCCCUGUAGUCCCUGUCUCUUAUAC